CCUACGGGGGGCUGCAGUGAGGAAUAUUGGUCAAUGGCCGGAAGGCUGAACCAGCCAAGCCGCGUGAAGGACGAAAGUGCCAAGCAUUGUAAACUUCUUUUGUCAAGGGACAAAAUCAGGCUCGAGAGCCUGACCGAGGGUACUUGAAGAAAAAGCAUCGGCUAACUCCGUGACAGCAGCCGCGGUAAUACGGAGGCUGCGAGCGUUAUCCGGAUUUAGUGGGUUUAAAGGGUGCGUAGGCGGACUGUUCAGUCAGCGGUAAAAGCCCGGGGCUCACCCCCGGCGAGCCGUGGAAACUGGCUGUCUUGAGAUGUCGAGAGGGAUGCGGAAUGCGCGGUGUAGCGGUGAAAUGCUUAGAUAUUGCGCAGAACACCGAUGGCGAAGGCAGCAUACCGGCGGCGAUCUGACGCUGAGGCACGAAAGCGUGGGUAUCGAACAGGAUUAGAUACCCUUGUAGUC
Molecule: ribosomal RNA, 459 nt
Filed under: uncultured bacterium
Lineage: Bacteria
Description: partial 16S ribosomal RNA
Rfam family: Bacterial small subunit ribosomal RNA
Source: RNAcentral